CCGCCGCAGCUGCGAUAAAGAGACCCUCCGAGCUCCGGCGGCGGCGCUCCUCAGGGCCUGGGCAAGUAUUCCAGCCGUUGAUCCGAUCCAAUUCUUCUGAGCGCGUCAGUACGCGGUCGUGCGCGCAUCGGCAUUUAUGGCGGUGGAGCGCGUGCGGAGGCGCCGGCGGGGACGGCGAGCGGCAAAGGUGGAUGUGGGUGCGCCGCGCCGUCGCCGGAUCCCGCUACCAUCCAGCUUCUAUCCAAUCCUUCCCGUCUGAUCGGUGUAUAAGCUUGCAGCGACGACCGAGCUCUGCGUGCAGGCAUGGCUCGGAGAGCACGCGGCCCACCACAAGCUCGAUGGAAUGCCUGACACAAUGCUCUUCAUGUAAGAGUUAUGCGUGAAUCUAUUUCAGUGCACAAAAUUGCAAGCUGCCGAAUUUACUGCUUCAAUUUCAAACCGUUUCCUCACAUCAGCUGCAGUCCAGCAGAUUGCAAUGCAUUACUGUCUGAACCUACGGGCUAGUCUCAAUGUGUAUGGUCAUCGUGCGUAUUUGUCGUAUAUAUGUAGUUGAUAUAUAAACCGUGGCGAGCAAAUUUCAUACUCAGCCUUACCAUUCUGCAGCAUUCCUGAUUGUCUUCAUGUUGCUCUCGUUUCUAUUAAACUGAAUGUGGUACCUUUUCUGGAUCGUAGCCAGUAGAGAGUACUUUAUGAAUCUGGAGAGUUCAGAGUUCUCAUUCUCCAGUAAUUUUGAUGGCGUGUCAUACGAUAAUUGUUGCUGCUUAUCAUGAGAGAAUACAGAGUUAAGUAAUGCAACAGAUUGGCCUAGAAACAUGUAGAGGAUUCUUAUUUGUCAAGGAUAUACUUUGCCUUUUUUUUUGUCUUGGCUUACCUUCACUGAAGCAGGAAACUCUAUAUGGAUGGUUUCUCGGAUUGCACAAGUACUCAGGUGAAGACUCAACUGAAGAAGUUGCCUCAUCGAGUUGGGGAAAAUUGUUUUGCUUUAGCAGAACCCUUCCAAGGCCAAACAACUGCCUUUCUCCCACGCUCCAACGUUCCCCGUUCUCGACAACUGCAAGAGCUUCUUUGGGUUUUGCCUAAUUACAUCACCGAGCUGGCAUUUGUCCAAAAUCUGCCCAAAAGAAGGAAAAAAGAAAAAAUUCCUGAUCAGAUGCUGGAAGAAGUAAGAGACUCUUUCCCUAACCGUCACCCCAUUUGGUAAGUUUCCAAUUCCUGUUCUGUUCUCUAUUCACAGAUUUGUGUAGAUUGUGAACUUCGAUCAUGCUGCUCUUGCUGUUUCUACGAAAAAUUGCCUCAGGUUUAAGAUCAUACGAGAAGUCUCAGGCAUUGCUUUACACCUGUACUUUUGGUGCCACGUGGACUCCUGAUAGAUGAGCACAAAUGCACAAUCACUGGCAUGAAAAUUUCUCAGUACAUAUUGUUAUCCAAAUUUGUUUGCGGAAGUUACUGUGAUCCCUAGCUUUUUGUAAUAUGGAAUACAUAGCUUUAGCUUGGCACAUUCACAAGAAUGCCAACGAGUAUGAUAUUCAUCUGGCAAAUGUGGCAAGAUGAUCCGGAAGGAAUAUUUUGACCUGAACGCUUGUGCAUGGUUGCACAUCCUGCAUCUGACAAGACUACAGUAAAUAUGCCUUCAUGGUUUCUAGCCAAGGGAAAGGUCUCCCAAAAAAAGGAGGGGAAUUAUUUCUCAAAAUUGUGCACAUGGUGAAGAUAAGUUGGACUAUGUAACCGAGAUGCUGGCCUGCUUGUCUUCUGCGGAAAUCCAAAUCCAUCAUACCAACAUGCUCGUGCUCCGGUCGCGGAUUGAUCCUAAUAUCCACGCGGCACGCACACUUCAGCUGUCUCAUGUACAUUGUCGAGCCUUGCAUACUCUCUAUGCCUCCUUUGAAAUGGAUUACAUGUUGUCUCU
This is a long non-coding RNA of Panicum hallii, 1906 nucleotides long. RefSeq lists it as uncharacterized. The transcript is spliced from 3 exons. The record is from RefSeq and is a predicted model, not a curated record. Lineage: Eukaryota; Viridiplantae; Streptophyta; Magnoliopsida; Poales; Poaceae.